Molecule: long non-coding RNA, 1371 nt
Organism: Capsicum annuum
Lineage: Eukaryota; Viridiplantae; Streptophyta; Magnoliopsida; Solanales; Solanaceae
Exons: 2
Source: RefSeq, a predicted model, not a curated record
AUUCACUUAUAUGGUAUGUUGCUGACUAUUUACCUGUGAUGCACUUAUAUUGUAUGUUGCUGACUAUUUUACUUGUGACGAACUUAUAUUGUAUGUUGCUGACUAUUUUACUUGUGAUGCACUUAUAUUGUAUGCUGCUUAUUUUACUUGUGAUGAACUAAUAUGUAUGUUGCUUAUUUUACUUGUGAUGAACAUAUAUUGUAUGUUGUUGACUAUUUUAUAUCAAAUUUCCAUUAUCUUAGAUAAGAGACCAUGGAGGUCACGGCAUUGUGUCCUUGAUGUAGCUAGUUUCUUGCUUUUGAUGUAUCUUUGUUUAUUGUGUUUCACUUAUUCCACUAUUUUACUGCUGUCACUGAUCCUUUUCUGAUUUCUCUCUACUUGCUUUCCUUAUUAGUGAUCAUGUUUUCUUCGUUGCCUUUUUUCCUGUUCCAUUUCUAUUUUGAUUCUUUGCACUCCAGUUGAGUUUCCUUCUGAAACAACCUCUCUACCUCCACGAGGCAGGGGGUAAGGUCUGCAUACACUUUACCCUCCCCAAAACUCCAUUUGUCAGAUUUCACUUUCACUGUGUAUGUUGUUGUUGUUAGAAAUGUUGCUUGAGGAAUUCAAUAAUUCAGCUGUGACUUGUCUGAUUUUAUGUACCGGCGGAAGUUCCUAUUACAUGCUGUGCAAAUUGUGAUUGUUGAUCUCAUGUUUUUUAAAUAAAAAUUGCCUUUUGCUCUGUUAGCUGGGAAAAUUUCUAAAUAUUUCAAAGUAUGUCUUUUGGCAACCUCCUUCGAUUACGAGCUUUAUGAAGGAAAUCCUGAUCAUCUCAGAACUGUAGUUGCUGCAACUGCCCCAGCCGGGUCCGUACAUUGAUCCUGCUUCGAUCAAACUUAAGCAUAGGAUGCUUUGGUGAUGUUUGGUCAGCCAAAUAUACUGGGAAAAUGUCUAAAGAUUUCAAAGUAUGUCCUUUGGCAACCUCCUUCGAUUACGAGCUUUAUUAAGGAGAUCCUGAUCAUCUCAAAACUGUUGUUGCUGCAACUGCCCCAGCCGGGUCCGUACAUUGAUCCUGCGUCGAUCAACUUAAACAUAGGAUCGGACGUGGAUGCUUUGGUGAUGUUUGGUCAGCCAAACAUCAUCAAUCAGCCACUGAUUACGAUGCGAAUCAUGAAGUAGCUAUAAAGAUGUUACAAUCCUGUAAAUGAGGAUAAAGUAAAGGCCUUAGUUUCUUCAGUAAGUUCGAGGAGUUAUGGGUGAAUUUGAAGUCUAAACAACUUUCCAAGGUGUUUGCUGGUUGCAUGUUGUCUCUGUAAUAUCUGGAAAGGUGAAUUACUGUAUUUUUGUGUACGUCAUUUCACUUACCUCUAUAUGGGACCUUAUAUUUGUUUAUCG